Molecule: ribosomal RNA, 62 nt
Filed under: Candidatus Poribacteria bacterium
Lineage: Bacteria; Candidatus Poribacteria
Description: partial 16S ribosomal RNA
Rfam family: Bacterial small subunit ribosomal RNA
Source: RNAcentral
UGACCGGGGCGAAGUCGUAACAAGGUAGCCGUAGGGGAACCUGCGGCUGGAUCACCUCCUUU